UACAGAGGGGGGCAAGCGUUGUUCGGAAUUACUGGGCGUAAAGGGCGCGUAGGCGGCCUGCUAAGUCGAACGUGAAAAUCCCCUGGGCUCAACCCAGGAACUGCGUCCGAUACUGGUUGGCUUGAAUCCGGGAGAGGGAUGUGGAAUUCCAGGUGUAGCGGUGAAAUGCGUAGAUAUCUGGAGGAACACCGGUGGCGAAGGCGACAUCCUGGACCGGUAUUGACGCUGAGGGCGCGAAAAGC
RNAcentral lists this ribosomal RNA (242 nucleotides) under uncultured bacterium. Its description in RNAcentral is "partial 16S ribosomal RNA". It matches the Rfam family "Bacterial small subunit ribosomal RNA", at positions 524 to 761 of the family's 1533-position model. The record is from RNAcentral.